This 250-nucleotide unclassified non-coding RNA is filed under the name plant metagenome. RNAcentral's name for it is "partial contains small subunit ribosomal RNA, internal transcribed spacer 1, and 5.8S ribosomal RNA". The record is from RNAcentral.
GUAGGUGAACCUGCGGAAGGAUCAUUACAGAGUUCAUGCCCUCACGGGUAGAUCUCCCACCCUUGAAUACUUAUACCUUUGUUGCUUUGGCGGGCCGCUUCGGCUACCGGCUUCGGCUGGUGAGUGCCCGCCAGAGGACCCAAAACUCUGAAUUAUAGUGUCGUCUGAGUACUAUAUAAUAGUUAAAACUUUCAACAACGGAUCUCUUGGUUCUGGCAUCGAUGAAGAACGCAGCAUCUGACUGACUAAG